AUUGAACGCUGGCGGCAGGCCUAACACAUGCAAGUCGAGCGGAUGAAGGGAGCUUGCUCCUGGAUUCAGCGGCGGACGGGUGAGUAAUGCCUAGGAAUCGGCCUGGUAGUGGGGGAUAACGUCCGGAAACGGGCGCUAAUACCGCAUACGUCCUGAGGGGGAAAGUGGGGGAUCUUCGGACCUCACGCUAUCAGAUGAGCCUAGGUCGGAUUAGCUAGUUGGUGGGGUAAAGGCCUACCAAGGCGACGAUCCGUAACUGGUCUGAGAGGAUGAUCAGUCACACUGGAACUGAGACACGGUCCAGACUCCUACGGGAGGCAGCAGUGGGGAAUAUUGGACAAUGGGCGAAAGCCUGAUCCAGCCAUGCCGCGUGUGUGAAGAAGGUCUUCGGAUUGUAAAGCACUUUAAGUUGGGAGGAAGGGCAGUAAGUUAAUACCUUGCUGUUUUGACGUUACCAACAGAAUAAGCACCGGCUAACUUCGUG
This 484-nucleotide ribosomal RNA is filed under the name uncultured bacterium. Its description in RNAcentral is "partial 16S ribosomal RNA". It matches the Rfam family "Bacterial small subunit ribosomal RNA", at positions 30 to 507 of the family's 1533-position model. The record is from RNAcentral.